Molecule: long non-coding RNA, 433 nt
Organism: Zingiber officinale
Lineage: Eukaryota; Viridiplantae; Streptophyta; Magnoliopsida; Zingiberales; Zingiberaceae
Exons: 2
Source: RefSeq, a predicted model, not a curated record
CAGAGUUGAUGAUCUUCCUCUAGGUGAAAUAAAUGAAGUCUAUCUUUUGGAUUUCAUUGGAUCCUCUGGUUUUAUCGGGGAAUUAUAUCCAAAAGUCGAGAGUGUGAUAAUAUUAGACCAUCAUAAGACUGCAGUUGAAGCUCUCUGUGGCAAUGCUUCAUUUGGCAAGAAUGUGAUAAAGGUUAUUGAUAUGGAUAAGAGUGGUGCUACAAUUGCAUUUGACUUCUUUAAAGAAAAGCUUUUAAAAAGAAGUGAUACUUUGAAAGGUCUUGGAAUCCACAACCAUCAGGAGGCAGGUCAAAAAAAUUUGUCUGGUUGCAAAUUUGAAAGAGUACAGAAGCUCUUUGAAUACAUUGAAGAUGGUGACAUAUGGAGGUGGAAGCUCCCUCACAGCAAAGCUUUUAGUAGUGGCUUGAAAGAUAUGAAUAUAGAA